Molecule: ribosomal RNA, 499 nt
Filed under: uncultured Glomeromycotina
Lineage: Eukaryota; Fungi; Glomeromycota
Description: partial small subunit ribosomal RNA
Rfam family: Eukaryotic small subunit ribosomal RNA
Source: RNAcentral
CCAAUAGCGUAUAUUAAAGUUGUUGCAGUUAAAAAGCUCGUAGUUGAAUUUCGGGAUCAAUUUAUUGGUCGUGCUAUUGUACGUACUGGUAUUAUUGGUUCCUACCUUCUGACGAACCAUGAUGUCAUUAAUUUGGUGUCAUGGGGAAUCAGGACUGUUACUUUGAAAAAAUUAGAGUGUUUAAAGCAGGCUCACGCUUGAAUACAUUAGCAUGGAAUAACGAAAUAGGACGUUUGAUUCUAUUUUGUUGGUUUCUAGGAUCGACGUAAUGAUUAAUAGGGAUAGUUGGGGGCAUUAGUAUUCAAUUGUCAGAGGUGAAAUUCUUGGAUUUAUUGAAGACUAACUACUGCGAAAGCAUUUGCCAAGGAUGUUUUCAUUAAUCAAGAACGAAAGUUAGGGGAUCGAAGACGAUCAGAUACCGUCGUAGUCUUAACCAUAAACUAUGCCGACUAGGGAUCGGAUGAUGUUAAUUUUUUAAUGACUCAUUCGGCGCCUUACG